Molecule: long non-coding RNA, 1253 nt
Filed under: Olea europaea subsp. europaea
Lineage: Eukaryota; Viridiplantae; Streptophyta; Magnoliopsida; Lamiales; Oleaceae
Source: RNAcentral
UUGAGGCUGUUUUUAGAAUUGGAAAUCGCAUCAAUGAUGGAACAUUCCGUGGUGGUAUACAAGCAUUUAAACUUGACAUGCUUCUGAAAUUAUCAGAUAUAAAGGGAACAGAUGGAAAAAUGACACUCUUGCACUUUGUUGUUCAUGAGAUAACAGAUGAUGCGCUUGUAUAUUCUCAUACACAAGUCAAGAACUAAAAAUAUGACAAUGAUACUAAGAUUGGACACUGAUUGCCUUGAUCUUUAGUUCCAUUAGUCUAUGACUUCUAAAUAAUAUAUUAACUCCAUCUCAAAAAAUAUUGUAGGCUGCUCGCACAGAACUCCAGAAAAGUAGGUCGUUCCUCAAACUCCUUGAGGCCGUUCUUAAAACUGGAAAUCGCAUGGAACAUUCCGUGGCGGUGCACAAGCAUUUAAACUUCACAUGCUUCUAAAAUUAUCAGAUGUAAAGGGAACAGAUGGAAAAAUGAUACUCUUGCACUUUGUUGUUCAUGAGAUAAUCCAUUCAAGAGGUAUACGAGCAGCCCGGGCAACCAAACAGAGCGAGAUAACAUCCAGCAUCAAAUCUGAUGAUUAACCUGAGGAUUCUUGUCAAGACUCAGACGAGCAUUAUAGAAGCAUUGGCCUGCAGAUUGUAUCAGGUCUGGCUGGUGAGCUUGAAAUGUAAGGAGUUGCAAUGUUAGAUGCUAACGGCUUAGUACGAAUGGUUGCCAAGCUUGCUCAGUCAAUCAUUGAAGCCUGGGUUUUCUAAAUUUUGAAAUGAAGAAUAUAGCAAAAGAAAAUGGGUUCUGCCAGACUACAAAAAGUUUUGUGCAGAAUGCUGAGGUUGAUGUUGCAUGGUUACUUGAGGAAGAGAAAAGAAUAAUGGCUCUAGUGAAGAGCACAGCGGAUUAUUUCCAUGGAAAUGCAGGGAAAAAUGAGGGGUUACGAUUAUUUGUUAUUGUUUAGGAUUUUCUGAUGAUUUUAGACAAGGUAUGUCAAGAAGUGAAAAAUGCACCGAUAAAACCAAAUAGGACACAUCGGAAAGAAGAGUUUGCGGUGACUUCUACUGAUCUCCGCCAGAAUCCUCCCAUUGAUCCUCGUCAAUGGUUGUUUCUAGCUAUUUUAGAUAGGCGGAUGGACAGUUCUAGCUCGGAUCAUGACUUGUAGUAAUUUAAUCAGAACAUGUAUAAUAAAUCGCUCCAUCAAAUAUUAUAGUAUCAAAUCUAGGGAACUAUAAGAUGACUGAUAAUUUUCUUCGUAUUCCCAUUUAUUCAA